Molecule: long non-coding RNA, 1527 nt
Filed under: Phascolarctos cinereus (koala)
Lineage: Eukaryota; Metazoa; Chordata; Mammalia; Diprotodontia; Phascolarctidae
Description: lncRNA (ENSPCIG00000034306.1)
Source: RNAcentral
CGGCCAUUCCCCCGCGCCUUGAGUUCAGCCGGCGGAACGCCUGACACUGGGAAGGUUUUUUUGGGGGGGUUAUCGGGGGGAGACUAACCUUCGGGGACAACACAAUUCCGGUGCCCCGGAUCCUCGGCAGGGAACCAGGGCGGGGGGUGUGUGGGGAGAUGAGCAAAGAGAGCAGAGAAAGAGGAAGAGAGACCCCCCCCCAGCCCUCCCGGUCCACCCUUCUGCAGUCCCCACCAAGGUGGCCUGGGAGCUCGCAGCUCGCUGGGCUGCGGGGAGUACGCACAACACCCCCCUCCUCUAGAAGUCCCCCCAGCCCCCUCCGCAGUACCCCCCAGUCCAGCGCGGACGGUCGAGGGGGAGGCCAGGCCGGGAGCGCGGGCCCGGAGCGCCGGGGGCGGAAGCGCGAAACGGUAGAGACCUACUUUUGGCUAGCUUUCUGGCCCUCGCCUUGGAUCUCAUGUUGUCGGCUGGCUGAAUCCCUCUCCUCCUCCUUGACUCCCGAAGCUGCUACACGCUAUCUUCAUCUCCCCAGCAUUGUCAAUUCCGGACACCUUCGCACAUGCGCACAGAGCCUUCAAUCUGACACCCCUCGCCGGGGCCAAAAAAACUUUCCAAUGUAUUCACCAUCAUCACCAUCACCAUCAUCACCAUCAUCAUCAUUGGCGGCGGAGGCGCUGAGUACGGGCUGGAGGUGGGAUUGCUUUGGGGGGACAUUUUCUUCUUUCUUUCUUUCUUUCUUUUGGGGGGGUGCUCUCCUCUUCCUCACCUCACUUGUCUCCCCCCUUCCUCCUCCCUUCUUCCCCCUCCCCCUCCCCCUCUGCCUCCUUCUCAACCACCUCGGAGCCUCUCACGACUGGCCCUUUAAGAGAAUAUUCCGUCCUCUCUCCGCGCUCCUGCCCCCGGCCGGCCCCACAGCCCGGACGCGCUUUCACCGGAUCAAGUUACUUGGAUGGAUCUUGACCUCCUAGACAUCUGGGCGGCUUCAUGAGAGAAAGAGAGCUGAGGGACAACACAUAUUCCUGGACCUGGAGGCCUGACACAAAUGAGACAAACACUAAGGACUGAAAAUGUUUGAGACCCUUGAGCCAGGGACUGAGCAGGAUAUAGUCAGUUAAUCAUUCAUUCAACAAACUGUAACCUUGCCCAGUUAGGCAAACCUCAAAUGACUUCACUGGGGAAGGAAGGGGAAAGGGCAGGCUUCCCUUGUGGUUUUUCUUGCCAAGUACUUUUUCCAGCAAAUCCUGGGUGCUUCAGGGAGAAGAUAAAAGAGGUAGGUCCCUGCCCAUCAAGGCUUUAGCUAGUCCCUGUGAUCUGCAGCCUGCCAUUUUUCCUCUGUUCCCUUCAUCUAGAACAAUUUUAGGAACUUCAAAAUCUUGACUUUGCAAAGUAUGAGUUCGUCGUUUUUUUAGAAUGUAAACUCUUUGAGGGCAGGCAUUGUUUUGUCUUUGAAUCCCAGUACCUGGUACAGUGCAUGGUGCACAAUUGGCAUUUAAUAAAUGCUUAUUUAUUUUUACUUGUAUUUAUGCU